Molecule: long non-coding RNA, 353 nt
Filed under: Homo sapiens (human)
Lineage: Eukaryota; Metazoa; Chordata; Mammalia; Primates; Hominidae
Description: HSALNT0397903
Source: RNAcentral
UCCUGUGCUCAAGCAAUCCUCUCGCCUCAGCCUCCCACAGUGCUGGGAUUACAGGCACAAGCCACUGCAUCCAGCCCGUGCGUGUUUUUGAGUGCACCAAUUCCAGCUCUAAGAUUGACGAGAUCCUACUGGCCUGGACCUGACUGUAAGCCAAAACCUGAUACUGCUGUCUGCUCUGUGCUGUUUCAGUCUCAGCAUGUGCUGUGCUAAAUUAAAAACGGGCGCACACUCCAGGAACAGCACUUCGACUAUGAGACCAUUGCAGACUUAGGGCACCCUCCGUGGGACCUAAACUGAAAACAUCAUGGAUGCUGACUGGACCAUCUGGAUCACAUAAAAAUGCCCACAGGAAA